This 391-nucleotide unclassified non-coding RNA is filed under the name soil metagenome. Its description in RNAcentral is "partial contains 5.8S ribosomal RNA, internal transcribed spacer 2, and large subunit ribosomal RNA". The stretch from base 1 to 122 matches the Rfam family "5.8S ribosomal RNA", at positions 35 to 154 of the family's 154-position model. The record is from RNAcentral.
GAUGAAGAACGUAGCGAAAUGCGAUACUUGGUGUGAAUUGCAGAAUCCCGUGAACCAUCGAGUCUUUGAACGCAAGUUGCGCCCGAAGCCACUAGGCCGAGGGCACGCCUGCCUGGGCGUCACACGCCGUUGCCCCCCCAUCUACUCCUUCGGGAUUGCGGGGGGGCGGAUGAUGGCCUCCCGUGCGCCUAGCCGCGCGGUUGGCAUAAAUACCUAGUCCUCGGCGACGCACGCCACGACAAUCGGUGGUUGCGAAACCUCGGUUGCCCGUCGUGUGCGUUCGUCGCGCAUCGAGGGCUCGAAAAAAUGCUCGGCUCCGGCUGGGCUUUCAACGCGACCCCAGGUCAGGCGGGGUUACCCGCUGAAUUUAAGCAUAUCAAUAAGCGGAGGA